Pollicipes pollicipes is the source of this 358-nucleotide long non-coding RNA. RefSeq lists it as uncharacterized. The transcript has 3 exons. The record is from RefSeq and is a predicted model, not a curated record. Lineage: Eukaryota; Metazoa; Arthropoda; Thecostraca; Pollicipedomorpha; Pollicipedidae.
CCGAGGCCGUCCGCACGCUGCCCGACCUGCAGGCGCUGGCAGAGCUCUGCCGCCGAUACGUCACCAACGUCUCGCUCAGAGAGGCGCUGUGCGCCCUGGUGUGGGAGACGCUGGGCUGCUGCCAGUCGGUGGCCGACCAGCUGGCAGCCGCCUGCCGGGACCAGCAGCAGGGCGUCGAGACAGUGUUCGGCUGCCCCGGCCGCGUCUCCGCCCUGGUCCGGCUCUGCCUCCGACAGGUGGCCGUCGGCCUGAGCAAGCUGACGCUGGCGUUCGACCUGUACGGCCGGCACGAGGCGUCGCUGGACGCGGCCGAGCGGCGCGAGGUCAUCCGGUACGCCCAGUCGCGGCUGCCGCUCUU